Otolemur garnettii (small-eared galago) is the source of this 345-nucleotide unclassified non-coding RNA. Its record names the gene Telomerase-vert. It matches the Rfam family "Vertebrate telomerase RNA". From Rfam's summary of the family: Telomerase is a ribonucleoprotein reverse transcriptase that synthesises telomeric DNA. Telomerase RNAs differ greatly in sequence and structure between vertebrates, ciliates and yeasts, but they share a 5' pseudoknot structure close to the template sequence. Lineage: Eukaryota; Metazoa; Chordata; Mammalia; Primates; Galagidae. The record is from Ensembl.
CUUACCUGAAUUAGUGCAUAUAAAACAUCUUAAAAAUGCCUGGCAGGUAGUAAAUACUAAAUAAAUGUUACAAUAUUAGUGUAAAUUUAGUAAAUCAAAUUCAGGUAUCUGUGCCUCAUAAAAAAAAACCUAUACCCCCGAGCCCUGCCUGGAGGCCGCGGCCAGCCCGGGGCUUCUCCGGAAGCACCCAUUGCGGCCGCGAAGAGUUGGGCUCUGUCAGCCGCGGGACCCUCGGGGGCCAGGGCGAGGCCCGGGCCUGCGGCCGCAGGGAGAGUAACAGAGCGGGUCCCGCGCGGCGCGCGCCCCUGAGCAGUGGGACGAGCGCCCGGACCCGCUCGCACACGC